AGAUGGCGACCGGCGCACGGGUGAGUAACACGUAUCCAACCUGCCGAUAACUCGGGGAUAGCCUUUCGAAAGAAAGAUUAAUACCCGAUGGUAUAAUCAGACCGCAUGGUCUUGUUAUUAAAGAAUUUCGGUUAUCGGUGGGGAUGCGUUCCAUUAGGCAGUUGGUGAGGUAACGGCUCACCAAACCUUCGAUGGAUAGGGGUUCUGAGAGGAAGGUCCCCCACAUUGGAACUGAGACACGGUCCAA
Molecule: ribosomal RNA, 247 nt
Filed under: uncultured bacterium
Lineage: Bacteria
Description: partial 16S ribosomal RNA
Rfam family: Bacterial small subunit ribosomal RNA
Source: RNAcentral